CUUGUCCAGCUGUUGUGUGGUGCUCGUUUUAUACAAUUAUGAUCACUUUUCCCUUCUGCUAUAGAAAACGGAAGGAGAUUCAGACAGCUCUUCCACUUCCUCCCACCCCCUCUCUGGAUUUGCUUCUCAGACUUCCUGCUUCUGCGCUGCAAACCCCGGCAUUACCUCAUGGCUCAUCUCGGCUCACGUUCUAAUACAGACCCAACCUAAGUAAGCCAAAAUCCUACUCGUGACUGCUGAGGAUGCCUAGAAGCUACUGUACUUGUUAGCUGGGCACCAAAGGCUUACCAGCUGCUUCCUGGAGAAGGUGGAGCAUGUAGAAAUCCUGCUGGGUGAUGGAAAAGAGCUGGCACAGCUGAUGAACCUCGAGGGCCAAGGAAGUCUCAGCGCACCACCACCUGUGCAAGCGGAGGAAGGAAAGUGCUGCGGCGCGGGGACUAACAACUUCUGGGUCUCACUGCUGCCGCGGCUGCAGAUCUGCACCGACUUCUGCAGCCCGCCACGCGGCACGUCAGGAACAUGUCAGCACUUGUUCAAAACAGCAUGUGAGAAGGUACUUCCCCUUAAUAUUUAACCAAAAGGUUUCUGUGUUUCGAAAAAUAAAGAAGGCUAAGGCAUAGAUACAAAAACACAUCCCGCACAUUUUAUCCUACUUUAAGCACCCGUGUGUUUAAAACAGAACUUGAGAGCUGAUUAGGUGUUACAAAUAAACUUGGGGCCGUAACACUGAGGAGCACUGAACUCCAAAUACGACAGGAAGUCUCUGCCCAAAGUCUCAUUCUUUCUUCUUAAAAGACACGCAGCUCCGGAACGUCACGUGGCAUGAAGAAGAUCCCUCACAAGGAGAUCUGCAGAUCCCGCCCAGGAUCCGACCACUGCAGUGAUAAGACCCCACCUGACAAGGAGCUGUCCUCAGUGAGAGCCGACAGUCACAGGCGUCAUGUUGGCUUCCUUUCUCACACCGGCACAAUCUCAACAACUUUUGAUAUGCCCACAUCCCACGUGUACAAUUAGUGACAAUGUUUUCUUCAAAUCAACUCACUUUCUAAAACCUGAAAUACCUCAUUUAAGCUUGACCUAAGUAACAGAGAAACUUAACAUGCCAGUGACAUUUUGAAUACAUAUUAAAACAUGUAAAUAUUUAAAUAAAACUGUGCCCAUGCCCCACCUAGAAACACCAUACUUACUGCAGGGCUAAGUGUUCUAGCCAUUAGAAAGUAUGUCCUCUCCCAACUUCUCUAACAAAAGAAAUUUUGAAGAAUGAUUUUUGAAAUUGCUCAUAAAUACGUUAAAAUUCUGAGGCCUGUUCCCAAGACAACUUAAAAAAUAGCACGUUUAACUUUCUAAUCCCUAAAAUUCUACUGUGCUUGAUUUACUGUAAAAAUGGCACCUAUAAGGAAAGCAGUGUAUGAAGGAACAACAGGCUGUGUCUGAUCCCGCUCACAGGACUUCCUUAAAGGAAGCCACACUGUACACAACCCUUGACGGUGCCACGUUGAAUAACCCGUCAGCUGUUUUCUGGUUGCGUAGCUUGCACGCGUGCGUAACUCUUCUGCACUCUAACACUGAGCUGUGAAUGCCUCUGCCGCACAGACGCACGGGCUUACUCCACUUCUGCUUCCGCACUGAGCCCUUCUUGGUGCUCCGUCCCAGGCAGCACCGAAUGCGUACUGUGAAGAACAAAAUCAGCACAAGCCAAACCUGGUUGCCACAGCAAACUGUUAUUUGUAUUAAAGAAAAAUGACCUUUA
This is a long non-coding RNA of Cavia porcellus (domestic guinea pig), 1750 nucleotides long. RefSeq lists it as uncharacterized. The record is from RefSeq and is a predicted model, not a curated record. The transcript has 2 exons. Lineage: Eukaryota; Metazoa; Chordata; Mammalia; Rodentia; Caviidae.